Molecule: long non-coding RNA, 674 nt
Filed under: Lathyrus oleraceus (garden pea)
Lineage: Eukaryota; Viridiplantae; Streptophyta; Magnoliopsida; Fabales; Fabaceae
Description: Pisum sativum (pea) long non-coding RNA (PSAT_LNC014607)
Source: RNAcentral
AUUAUUAUUAUUAUUAUUAUUAAUUGUUAUUAUUGUUAUUAUUAUUAUUUAUUUAUUUAUUUUAUUUAUCAUUAUUUGUUUAUUUUUAUUUGAUUGUUAUUAUUAUUAUUGUUAUAUUUGUUUAUUGAUUAAUUAGUUAUUUUAUUUUAAUUAUUAAGUAGAAAAAAAUUGAUUUAUUUGUUCGAUCGAUUUUACUCAGAUGCGUAGCAAUUUUAAAGUUAAAAAUUCAAUUUAACUUUUGAUUUUUACUUCGAGUCCCGUGGCUUUCUCUUGGGCCUUCUCACAACGAGAUUCUUUUAUUUCUUCAAAUGUCUUUCAAAACUUGUAUGAUUUAGUUAUUGUGUUGUAUCCCCAUUCGAUAAACUGUACCCUCAUUCCCGAAAAUGUGUAAUAAUUUACCGCUUUCGUUUACUUUAUUGUAUUAGUUGAUUGUCAAUUCCAAGAUUAAAAUCAACCCAUUCUAUAAAAGAAUAAAAACAAAUACUCGAUCCAACGUCGAGCAAUUUUCACACAAAAAUUAGAACCAUUUCUACACCCACAUAUCUAUCAUUUUCAAAACCUUUAAAUCACCCCAUCUUGUUUCAAUUCAAACACAAAGAAUAAAAACCUCGAUCCAACAUCAAGUGUCUUUUCCCUAAUCAAAUCCAAAUUGGAUACAAAGUCGAGCAACGCCC